This 3424-nucleotide long non-coding RNA is filed under the name Taeniopygia guttata (zebra finch). RNAcentral describes it as "lncRNA (ENSTGUG00000024858.1)". Lineage: Eukaryota; Metazoa; Chordata; Aves; Passeriformes; Estrildidae. The record is from RNAcentral.
CGCGCCUUUGGGCCCUCACUGCUGAGGGGAGGCGCGAGGGAACCUUCCAGAAUCCCCGGAGUGACAGCGACUCGGGGCUUGUGACGCUUAUUGAAAGAACAAAAACAUAUCUGAAAAAUGAGGAACUCUGUUGACUGCUCCUAUUUUGGAAAUCUAGAAUGACCUCCCCAACAAGGAAACCAGCUGGUCCUGGACUUGUGAUUCUGAAAAACUCCAUCACUGAAUGUUUAAUGUGUAAUGCCUGGUAUCUACGGCCUGCUGUGAUGUUAAACAAGGAUGCAGACUCCUGCCCACAGCACGGAAACUGAAAAAGUGAUGGGAGAACUGAUCUCUUCCUUCCAGUCUGCUGGGGGAAAUACUGGGGGAAAAAAGAGAGCUGAUCCAUCUUCAUGGGCUUUUUAGGAAUUGCUCUCUGCUGAGAAUACCACUGGGAUGAGUUCACAUUAAACAUGUCUCAACAACCAGCACCACGUCAUUUCUUAUGGGCUAGAAAGUUGCCAUACAACGACAACUUAUAGGUGCAAUUGAAUUAAAAGCUACACUUACUCAUUAAAAAGAUGCUGAUAAGGCCAUUCAGUGUCUACUUGAAUUGUUGAAACCUGUAUGAGAGAAGAAUAUGAAAGUGGAGCUACAAGAAUUAUACAAGGUAGGAAAUGAACCAUUUUAAGUACAUAUGAAGAGUUCCAACUGAUAUUUUACAUGACGAGGAGCAGGUCCCAGUUGUAUACAUUCAUUAAUCUUGUCCCUUCCUUGAAAUGUAUAGCUUGCUGUUUCACUUUUCUAAAAAGCAACCAGAGCUAAAAUCAGUUACAGAGAUAAUUGAUAGAAAUGUAACAGUGGAAGUUCUGGGGCUUGGACAUUAAUGUUUUAUUAAGGCUUUGAGACAGUACUUGUGACAGAAUUAUGCAAGCAUAAGUGACAAACAAAAAUAGCAUGAAGAAAAGCAAGUCUUUAUGGUUAAAAGGUCCAAAGUCUAACUAGAACAAAGAUUUAUUUCCGCCCCCUUCCCAAAGAAAAGAAACUCCAUUUUCUUCUGGACUUUAUAUAUAAAUUUGAUAUCACACUCAAAAACUCUUUUGGCAAAAAAAAAACAACCUCUUGCUUUUUGGCAAACAAUGGAGGAAAAAACUUUCCUUCUCUCCAUAGCAUUCAUUAGUUUGCUAAUGACAUUUAACACAAAAUAAGGAUAUGCACUUCAUAACACCUGCAAAGGACACAAGUAGUAGGCUAAUAGGGGUGAGAGCUUGUGAGAUCUCUGCCUACUCCACAAACAAAUGUGACAUUUUCAGAUCCGUCAGCUGCAUUUAGUAACAGAGAUACAGAUUUCCUGUAAAUGCAAGCAGAGAGAGACUGACAAUUCAUCUACAUACAGAGUUGUGGUGAUUUGACUGAGAGCUUGACUGCACAUGGAAUUAUUCAAGAAUAAAAACAGCAUCCUUACUGAAUAACUGUCUCAUCCAGAUAUGUUUGUUCUAGAAUACAAACUAGAAUAAGGUAAUUAUGUAUGUAAUAAGCUCCUAUAUGUAGAAUCAUUUUGUAGGGCUGUGACAAUUAAGAUUCAGAUCCUGCCUCAGCCUGAAACAGUUUUCAAGUAAAGCAAUAUCUUAAAUUUGAAUUUUUGAAAAUUUCUUCAUUCAAAAUUCUGGGAAUUACUUCCAGGAUAUUUUUUUUCUUCUGUUGAAACUAAUUUGUCUUAGUUUGAUUGAGGAAAGGUUUUGAAUACAUGAAAUCACUGUAGUUUUCCUUUUCUUACAAAUGUCAUGUAAUCCAGAGUCUUACCUGAGCUCAAGCCUCUGAAAUCUGGAUUUAUGUAUGGCUUGAACUCAUGUCCUAUCAUUCUAGGGAUAUUCUGACUUGACAGUCUUCCAGUAUCAGUUCCACACUUCCCUAGAGUGAGGAUUUCUGGCCCUUCUGUUUACUUAUUCCCACACUCCUUCUCUGUAUAAGACAGCAAUACUCCAGCUGUCUGUGCAUCAGCAGUCUCUGGUCAGAUGUCUCUAUGAAGUGCAAGGAGGAUGGAGAAUCACACGUGAGUUCCAAUUGCCUUCUGGUGUGGAUAGAGCAGAAAGUGCCAUUUCAGGAGGGACAUCCACCACUGUGGUCUGCAGGAGUUUGUACAGGAAACUGCAAAAGAUGUGAUAAAAUAAAUUACUAGUCUUUAGCUUGAGAGAAUAAAAAAUUUCAGUAUUGAAUCCUGCAUAAUGAAGAGACUGAAGCAGGUCUAAAAUGUUUCUAUUUCCUAUCUUUGUUCAAAGGACUGUGAAUAUCCUACAUUGUUCUUCCUCACCUCUCAAUAAGCAUGAAAGUUGCAGUGAAAAGUCUUUAACAGCAUUGUGAGUUUUAGGACAUAAAUGGAAUGGUCCAAGGCAGAAUUAUGGAAUCUUGACCAAUUGAUGUAUACAUUAGAGGGUUUUCUGGAAUGUCACUCACAGAAUCAUUGUUUAUGGUUUAUCACAAUAUGAAAUACCUUAACUUCAUGAGGGAGGAAGACAUUCUUCUUCCUUGGCAACACACUUCUUAUAUCAUAACCCCUAGUCCACAAAGUUAAAGUGGGCCCAGAUGGCUGCACUGCAAAAUGUAGUUUCAGUAGUGGUAUCUUUAUGGCAUAAUCUAUGCUGUGUCAAAGUGGGUUAAAUUAAAUUUUAAAUUAAGAUGUUCCUCAGUGUCUUGCACCACUGGUCUUUCCCCUUUCACAAGGGAAAAAAAUGGAGAUAAUGUCAUUUGUCAUAUAUGUCAUAUAAACACAAUGUUUCUCCACUACUAAUUGUUAAUGCUUGAGAAUUUUUUUAAAGAGGAAAAAGUUAAAAUAUCUGAAGAUUUUGUGCAGGUCAAGCAUGGCUUGUUCUUGGAGUCGCCUCCUAUAACUAAUCUGCCGAGACGACAGCAGCAAUGGAAAAUCCUUUCAGUAUAGGUGCUGUCCAGCUACAGAAUUGCAAAAUCUUAGGUAUAGGGAUUAGCAUUAUUUUAGGAAUGAUGGAGGGAAGCCUGCAUCCAGGGCUUUGCUAAUCUGAAAGAGUAGUAACGGGUUUUUAGUCUGAUCCUCUUGUGCAACAGUCACAUCUGACAGUAUUUUGGGUUUAGGUGUCUUAAAUCUACAAUAAUUACUCGUCUGUCUGUGAGUGAGUAAACUGGCCUGAAACAGCUUUUGGACAAGUGAAUGAUCGCAGAUGAAGUAAAGAAAUAUUAAUUAUAUAAAAUUAUCAACUUUUGGCCUUGCAAGCUGCUUAGUAGUAGAAGGACUUUUUCUGUCUUUCCAAGGAUAAAAAUCUCCUUGUUCUUUCCUUGCUUUGUUGGGGCUUUUUAUGUUAGGUAGGUCUGAGACAAGCACCCAGAUUACUGUAGAGCAGAUGGGGAAAUAACAGGGACAUUUUUGACCUAUGGUAAGAAGUGCCUAAAGAUUUGUGGCGCAGAUUGAACCAGUACU